This 72-nucleotide transfer RNA is filed under the name Euglena viridis. Its description in RNAcentral is "tRNA-Arg". It matches the Rfam family "tRNA". From Rfam's summary of the family: Transfer RNA (tRNA) molecules are approximately 80 nucleotides in length. Their secondary structure includes four short double-helical elements and three loops (D, anti-codon, and T loops). Lineage: Eukaryota; Euglenozoa; Euglenophyceae; Euglenales; Euglenaceae. The record is from RNAcentral.
GUCACAGUCGCCCAGUGGAAGGGCAUCAUCCUUCUAAGAUGACAUGCGUAGGUUCGAGUCCUAUCUGUGGCA